This 474-nucleotide ribosomal RNA is filed under the name uncultured bacterium. RNAcentral describes it as "bacterial SSU rRNA". It matches the Rfam family "Bacterial small subunit ribosomal RNA", at positions 335 to 801 of the family's 1533-position model. The record is from RNAcentral.
ACUCCUACGGGAGGCAGCAGUAGGGAAUCUUCCACAAUGGGCGCAAGCCUGAUGGAGCAACACCGCGUGAGUGAAGAAGGGUUUCGGCUCGUAAAGCUCUGUUGUUAAAGAAGAACACGUAAUGAGAGUAACUGUUCAUACGUUGACGGUAUUUAACCAGAAAGUCACGGCUAACUACGUGCCAGCAGCCGCGGUAAUACGUAGGUGGCAAGCGUUAUCCGGAUUUAUUGGGCGUAAAGAGAGUGCAGGCGGUUUUCUAAGUCUGAUGUGAAAGCCUUCGGCUUAACCGGAGAAGUGCAUCGGAAACUGGAUAACUUGAGUGCAGAAGAGGGUAGUGGAACUCCAUGUGUAGCGGUGGAAUGCGUAGAUAUAUGGAAGAACACCAGUGGCGAAGGCGGCUACCUGGUCUGCAACUGACGCUGAGACUCGAAAGCAUGGGUAGCGAACAGGAUUAGAUACCCUGGUAGGAUAGCG